AGAGUUUGAUCCUGGCUCAGAGCGAACGCUGGCGGCAGGCCUAACACAUGCAAGUCGAACGGACUCUUCGGAGUUAGUGGCGGACGGGUGAGUAACACGUGGGAACGUGCCUUUAGGUUCGGAAUAAGCCCGGGAAACUGGGUCUAAUACCGAAUGUGCCCUUCGGGGGAAAGAUUUAUCGCCUUUAGAGCGGCCCGCGUCUGAUUAGCUAGUUGGUGGUGUAAUGGACCACCAAGGCGACGAUCAGUAGCUGGUCUGAGAGGAUGACCAGCCACAUUGGGACUGAGACACGGCCCAAACUCCUACGGGAGGCAGCAGUGGGGAAUCUUGCGCAAUGGGCGAAAGCCUGACGCAGCCAUGCCGCGUGGAUGAUGAAGGUCUUAGGAUUGUAAAAUCCUUUCACCGGUGAAGAUAAUGACUGUAGCCGGAGAAGAAGCCCCGGCUAACUUCGUGCCAGCAGCCGCGGUAAUACGAAGGGGGCUAGCGUUGCUCGGAAUUACUGGGCGUAAAGGGAGCGUAGGCGGACAUUUAAGUCAGGGGUGAAAUCCCAGAGCUCAACUCUGGAACUGCCUUUGAUACUGGGUGUCUUGAGUGUGAGAGAGGUAUGUGGAACUCCGAGUGUAGAGGUGAAAUUCGUAGAUAUUCGGAAGAACACCAGUGGCGAAGGCGACAUACUGGCUCAUUACUGACGCUGAGGCUCGAAAGCGUGGGGAGCAAACAGGAUUAGAUACCCUAGUAGUCC
RNAcentral lists this ribosomal RNA (742 nucleotides) under uncultured bacterium. RNAcentral describes it as "bacterial SSU rRNA". It matches the Rfam family "Bacterial small subunit ribosomal RNA", at positions 8 to 796 of the family's 1533-position model. The record is from RNAcentral.